AUCCAGCUGACGAGUCACAAAAUAGGACGAAACACGCGUCAAACUAGAU
Schistosoma curassoni is the source of this 49-nucleotide non-coding RNA. Lineage: Eukaryota; Metazoa; Platyhelminthes; Trematoda; Strigeidida; Schistosomatidae. The record is from Rfam.